Molecule: RNA transcript, 1105 nt
Organism: Schistocerca gregaria
Lineage: Eukaryota; Metazoa; Arthropoda; Insecta; Orthoptera; Acrididae
Gene name: proline-rich protein 2-like
Exons: 3
Source: RefSeq, a predicted model, not a curated record
GAGGGCGACAGUGGCAGCUCUUCUCCUGUGUCUUGUGGAGGACUAACUACCCUACAAAUCUGAUGUUACUGCAUACAGAAGGAAAUUGCAUGUUAAGCGGCACAUAUCCAAGAAAUCAGAAAAUCAUUCCAAUCCUUACACCCUGGGCUGUAAAAAAGUCUCAGCUGCUGGUGAACGAGAUGGCGACACUGCAGCUGCUCGUUUCUUGACAAACCUGCCACGAGAGUCAGAUGUCAUGGCAAUCUGACAGCUGAGCCCGUCAUGUGCUUUCGAGGUGCAGAUGCAAACAUUCCAUCAGGAACGGAUGGAGCGCCUCUCAUACGUUAGCACCAGCACACGUCUGGAGCCGCGGAACGGCAAAAUACAACAAACCUUUGCAAUUCCAUCUAGCAACAGAACAACGAGGGUACUUAGCUUUAUACUCAUCAUAUUGUCGAAAUUCUACCGCUCCACACCUUCAACCGCCGAACAUCAAGACAAAAGCAAACCUUUGUAAUUCCAUCUAACAGCAGAACAACGAAUCUACAUAGCAUUGUCUCAUUCGUGUCAUCGAAAUUCUCCGGCUCCUCAUUUAUAACCAUCAAUCUUAAAGACAUCACCAAAAUUUUUAAAUCCAUCCCAUUAGGACAACGAGGCUAACAGUGUAUAAAAUCAAAACCAUCGAAAUCAACAGAAAUCAGCAACAAAAAAUAGACUAUCAAAUAACAAAAAUCUACCAAACGUACCAAUUUAUGUAAAACCUUUAUCAUUCUACCAUAUAUUGUAUGUACUCUGAUUUACUGAACUCCGAUUUGUAUAACUAAUAUAAUGUUUUGUUUACCUAUAUCUUUGCACAUAUAAUUAGUUUUUGUAAUUGACAGUUAUAUGAAUGGUUGUCUGUACAAACAAUUUCAAAUGCUGAAACGUGUUGUAUGAACAACGGUACAGGCAAAAAUGAGUCCUUUUUAACUGUAGCAACAAGAACAUAAACAUUUUUCAAGCUAUCUGCCGAAUCAUUGAAGGCAAUUUAUUAAUCAAAUAACUUCGAAGCAUUACAUGGAUAGAUUCAAGAAAUUUCUUGUUAAUUUAACAUCGCAAAAACGACGGAAAGCACAAAAAUGUACAU